Coffea eugenioides is the source of this 107-nucleotide small nucleolar RNA. NCBI's taxonomy places the organism in Eukaryota, Viridiplantae, Streptophyta, Magnoliopsida, Gentianales, Rubiaceae. The record is from RefSeq and is a predicted model, not a curated record.
AAUCUAUGAUGUGGACAUUUUCGAAACAAAUUUCUAAAUCUUUCUCAUGCCUCGUAUGAUUAUUCGCCCUCUUGUUGGUUAAAACUAGUGAUAUCCAUUAUAAGUUU